Molecule: ribosomal RNA, 388 nt
Filed under: Cytobacillus firmus
Lineage: Bacteria; Bacillati; Bacillota; Bacilli; Caryophanales; Bacillaceae
Description: bacterial SSU rRNA
Rfam family: Bacterial small subunit ribosomal RNA
Source: RNAcentral
UCUUAUAUGGAGAGUUUGAUCCUGGCUCAGGACGAACGCUGGCGGCGUGCCUAAUACAUGCAAGUCGAGCGGACGGAUGGGAGCUUGCUCCCAGACCGUCAGCGGCGGACGGGUGAGUAACACGUGGGCAACCUGCCUGUAAGACUGGGAUAACUCCGGGAAACCGGGGCUAAUACCGGAUAACUCUUUUCCUCACAUGAGGGAAAGCUGAAAGAUGGCAUCUCGCUAUCACUUACAGAUGGGCCCGCGGCGCAUUAGCUAGUUGGUGAGGUAACGGCUCACCAAGGCAACGAUGCGUAGCCGACCUGAGAGGGUGAUCGGCCACACUGGGACUGAGACACGGCCCAGACUCCUACGGGAGGCAGCAGUAGGGAAUCUUCCGCAAUGG